CUCUCGGCAACGGAUAUCUCGGCUCUCGCAUCGAUGAAAAACGUAGCGAAAUGCGAUACUUGGUGUGAAUUGCAGAAUCCCGUGAACCAUCGAGUCUUUGAACGCAAGUUGCGCCCGAAGCCAUUAGGCCGAGGGCACGUCUGCCUGGGUGUCACGCAGCGUC
RNAcentral lists this ribosomal RNA (163 nucleotides) under Stryphnodendron obovatum. RNAcentral's name for it is "5.8S ribosomal RNA". It matches the Rfam family "5.8S ribosomal RNA". From Rfam's summary of the family: 5.8S ribosomal RNA (5.8S rRNA) is a component of the large subunit of the eukaryotic ribosome. Lineage: Eukaryota; Viridiplantae; Streptophyta; Magnoliopsida; Fabales; Fabaceae. The record is from RNAcentral.